Molecule: ribosomal RNA, 546 nt
Filed under: uncultured Nitrososphaerota archaeon
Lineage: Archaea; Thermoproteati; Nitrososphaerota
Description: uncultured thaumarchaeote partial 16S ribosomal RNA
Source: RNAcentral
UACAACGCACUAUCUGUUCAUAGUAGUUGUUGCUGUCAACAGCACACUGCUCACCAUCAACGCAGGUGACUACAUCUUCUACCUAGACUGGGCGUGGACGUCCCUCGUUGUGUUCUCGGUGACAGAGUCGUCCAUGCAUAACGUAGUCGCGAUAUACUGAUUCUUAAUCACACGUGUGAACGUCACUACAAACUAUAUCCCAACAUUUACUCAAUAAUCAACAUGGUUUGCAAGCGGCCGUUGAUUACUACUGGUCAGCCGCUAGCACUCUGGUGCGCGACAUGACGGUACAAGCACGCUGCCAUAAUUCUUGGCGGUGCGCUGGUAGGCCUAUCCUGCCCGCUGUUCAAUAUGGUCAACCUAUUGCUUGUAAGAAACCCGCUCGGGGUGGCAUUCAAGGAUCCGAGACCGACUCUGCCCGCGUCCAUGACGCCGAUAGAGCCUCAGAUAGGGAAGUUCUACAACUCGACUGUCGCCCUGGGUUCAGGUGCCUGUGCAGUACUAACGGUACCCAUCGCUGCGUUGGGUGCAAAACUAAACACGUGG